This 551-nucleotide ribosomal RNA is filed under the name Anaplasma bovis. RNAcentral describes it as "bacterial SSU rRNA". It matches the Rfam family "Bacterial small subunit ribosomal RNA", at positions 72 to 655 of the family's 1533-position model. The record is from RNAcentral. Lineage: Bacteria; Pseudomonadati; Pseudomonadota; Alphaproteobacteria; Rickettsiales; Anaplasmataceae.
CUCGUAGCUUGCUAUGAGAACAAUUAGUGGCAGACGGGUGAGUAAUGCAUAGGAAUCUACCUAGUAGUAUAGGAUAGCCACUAGAAGUGGUGGGUAAUACUGUAUAAUCCCUGCGGGGGAAAGAUUUAUCGCUACAUGAUGAGCCUAUGUUAGAUUAGCUAGUUGGUGGGGUAAUGGCCUACCAAGGCAGUGAUCUAUAGCUGGUCUGAGAGGAUGAUCAGCCACACUGGAACUGAGACACGGUCCAGACUCCUACGGGAGGCAGCAGUGGGGAAUAUUGGACAAUGGGCGCAAGCCUGAUCCAGCUAUGCCGCGUGAGUGAGGAAGGCCCUAGGGUUGUAAAACUCUUUCAGUGGGGAAGAUAAUGACGGUACCCACAGAAGAAGUCCCGGCAAACUCCGUGCCAGCAGCCGCGGUAAUACGGAGGGGGCAAGCGUUGUUCGGAAUUAUUGGGCGUAAAGGGCAUGUAGGUGGUUUGGUUAGUUAAAGGUGAAAUGCCAGGGCUUAACCCUGGAGCUGCUUUUAAUACUGCCAGACUGGAGUCCGGGAGA